AGAGCAUUUGACUGCAGAUCAAGAGGUCCCUGGUUCAACUCCAGGUGCCCCCU
This 53-nucleotide transfer RNA is filed under the name Phaethon lepturus (White-tailed tropicbird). It matches the Rfam family "tRNA", at positions 20 to 71 of the family's 71-position model. From Rfam's summary of the family: Transfer RNA (tRNA) molecules are approximately 80 nucleotides in length. Their secondary structure includes four short double-helical elements and three loops (D, anti-codon, and T loops). Lineage: Eukaryota; Metazoa; Chordata; Aves; Phaethontiformes; Phaethontidae. The record is from Rfam by way of RNAcentral.